RNAcentral lists this ribosomal RNA (608 nucleotides) under uncultured bacterium. Its description in RNAcentral is "bacterial SSU rRNA". It matches the Rfam family "Bacterial small subunit ribosomal RNA", at positions 888 to 1498 of the family's 1533-position model. The record is from RNAcentral.
GCAAGAUUAAAACUCAAAGGAAUAGACGGGGACCCGCACAAGCGGUGGAGCAUGUGGUUUAAUUCGACGAUACGCGAAGAACCUUACCUGGCCUUGACAUAGACAGAAUUUUCCAGAGACGGAGAAGUGCUAGUUUACUAGAACUGUCAUACAGGUGCUGCACGGCUGUCGUCAGCUCGUGUCGUGAGAUGUUGGGUUAAGUCCCGCAACGAGCGCAACCCUCGUGUUUAGUUACUAACAGUUCGGCUGAGGACUCUAAACAGACUGCCUGGGUAACCAGGAGGAAGGUGAGGACGACGUCAAGUCAUCAUGGCCCUUACGGCCAGGGCUACACACGUGCUACAAUGGGGUAUACAAAGAGCUGCAAUACGGUGACGUGGAGCAAAUCUCAUAAAAUAUCUCCCAGUUCGGAUUGAAGUCUGCAACUCGACUUCAUGAAGUUGGAAUCGCUAGUAAUCGUAGAUCAGCAAUGCUACGGUGAAUACGUUCCCGGGUCUUGUACUCACCGCCCGUCACACCAUGGGAAUUGAAUUCAUUCGAAGCGGGGAUGCUAAAAUAGCUACCUUCCACAGUGGAUUUAGUAACUAGGGUGAAGUCGUAACAAGGUA